AAUUUUGGACAAUGGGCGCAAGCCUGAUCCAGCCAUGCCGCGUGUGCGAUGAAGGCCUUCGGGUUGUAAAGCACUUUUGGCAGGGAAGAAAAGGCGCCGGCUAACACCUGGCGCCGCUGACGGUACCUGCAGAAUAAGCACCGGCUAACUACGUGCCAGCAGCCGCGGUAAUACGUAGGGUGCAAGCGUUAAUCGGAAUUACUGGGCGUAAAGCGUGCGCAGGCGGUUCGGAAAGAAAGAUGUGAAAUCCCAGGGCUUAACCUUGGAACUGCAUUUUUAACUGCCGGGCUAGAGUAUGUCAGAGGGGGGUAGAAUUCCACGUGUAGCAGUGAAAUGCGUAGAGAUGUGGAGGAAUACCGAUGGCGAAGGCAGCCCCCUGGGAUGAUACUGACGCUCAUGCACGAAAGCGUGGGGAGCAAGCAGG
RNAcentral lists this ribosomal RNA (424 nucleotides) under uncultured bacterium. Its description in RNAcentral is "partial 16S ribosomal RNA". It matches the Rfam family "Bacterial small subunit ribosomal RNA", at positions 360 to 776 of the family's 1533-position model. The record is from RNAcentral.